Molecule: ribosomal RNA, 502 nt
Filed under: uncultured bacterium
Lineage: Bacteria
Description: partial 16S ribosomal RNA
Rfam family: Bacterial small subunit ribosomal RNA
Source: RNAcentral
AUUGAACGCUGGCGGCAUGCCUUACACAUGCAAGUCGAACGGCAGCACGGGUGCUUGCACCUGGUGGCGAGUGGCGAACGGGUGAGUAAAGUAUCGGAACGUGCCUGGUAGUGGGGGAUAACUAGUCGAAAGACUAGCUAAUACCGCAUACGAUCUAAGGAUGAAAGCAGGGGACCUUCGGGCCUUGUGCUAUCAGAGCGGCCGAUAUCUGAUUAGCUAGUUGGUGGGGUAAAAGCCCACCAAGGCGACGAUCAGUAGCUGGUCUGAGAGGACGACCAGCCACACUGGAACUGAGACACGGUCCAGACUCCUACGGGAGGCAGCAGUGGGGAAUUUUGGACAAUGGGGGCAACCCUGAUCCAGCAAUGCCGCGUGAGUGAAGAAGGCCCUCGGGUUGUAAAGCUCUUCUGUCAGGGAAGAAAAGGCUGUGGCUAAUAUCCACAGCUGCUGACGGUACCUGAAGAAUAAGCACCGGCUAACUACGUGCCAGCCGCCGCAGUAA